CUCAAAGGAAUUGACGGGGGCCCGCACAAGCGGUGGAGCAUGUGGUUCAAUUCGACGCAACGCGAAGAACCUUACCCAGGCUCGAACGGCAUCGGACAUCCGGCGAAAGCCGGCUCCCGCAAGGGUCGAUGUCGAGGUGCUGCAUGGCUGUCGUCAGCUCGUGUCGUGAGAUGUUGGGUUAAGUCCCGCAACGAGCGCAACCCUUGUCCUCUGUUGCCAUCACGUUAUGGUGGGCACUCUGAGGAGACUGCCGGUGAUAAACCGGAGGAAGGUGGGGAUGACGUCAAGUCAGCAUGGCCUUUAUGUCUGGGGCUACACACGUGCUACAAUGGCCGGUACAAACCGUCGCGAUCUCGCAAGAGGGAGCUAAUCGGAGAAAGCCGGUCUCAGUUCGGAUUGCAGGCUGCAACUCGCCUGCAUGAAGUUGGAAUCGCUAGUAAUCGCGGAUCAGCACGCCGCGGUGAAUACGUUCCCGGGCCUUGUACACACCGCCCGUCACAUCACGAAAGCCGGCUGUACUAGAAGUCGCCGUGCUAACCCGCAAGGGAGGCAAGCGCCUAAGGUAUGGUCGGUGAUUGGGGUGAAGUCGUAACAAGGUAA
Molecule: ribosomal RNA, 600 nt
Filed under: uncultured bacterium
Lineage: Bacteria
Description: bacterial SSU rRNA
Rfam family: Bacterial small subunit ribosomal RNA
Source: RNAcentral